Propithecus coquereli (Coquerel's sifaka) is the source of this 501-nucleotide long non-coding RNA. RefSeq lists it as uncharacterized. The record is from RefSeq and is a predicted model, not a curated record. NCBI's taxonomy places the organism in Eukaryota, Metazoa, Chordata, Mammalia, Primates, Indriidae. The transcript is spliced from 2 exons.
CUAGAGUCAGCAUCUUCUAUCAGUGGAAAAAUACUAAAUUAUUCUCUUUAUUUCUUGUAGCUGUUCUAAAGAAAUCCAAAUGGCAGUUCUGCUGAAAUUUGUUUCAGAAGGGGACAAUAUCCCAGAUGCAUUAGGUCUUGUUGAGUAUCUUAAUGAAUGGCUUCAAAUAAUCAAACCAUGUAGUGAUGGUCCCACGGCAUCUACCUUGAGGUGGAAGAUACCAAGUUCUUGGAGAUUACUCUUUGGCAGCGGUCUUCCCCCUGCACUUUUUUGAUGUAUUUUCAGUUUUUGUACCUUAUAUACCAAGACACUUAUUAUCAACACAACUGCUUAACAUUGUGUACAAAAAUUUGUAUAAUCUGAGAAUGUAUUAGGAAAUAAAUACUUGUUUUUCACAGAAAAUCUCAAAAAAAAAGGAUUAACACAAGGUCUUUUUGCCAUGCUUUUCAUCAUAUACAACAAAUGUAAAUUUUGUACAAUAAAAUUUUAUUUCCCAAGUAA